UAAUGUUCGGAUUGUUUACCAAUGAUGCAGUAAUUUAGUCAGAGUAACAAAGUAACGACUAGUUGUUUAAGUUAAAAGGUAGAUUUAAUAUUCCGGAUAUGAGCGAGGAAUGUCGGCGAGCGGCGGACGGCUGAGUAGCGCGUAGGAACAUACCCCAAAGUGAGGCAUAACCGCCCGAAAGGGUGGCUAAUACCGCAUAUUGUCUUCGGAUGAAAGCUUUUAGCGCUUUGGGAAUGGCCUGCGUUUGAUUAGCUAGUUGGUGAGGUAAGGGCUUACCAAGGCGAUGAUCAAUAGCUGGUUUGAGAGAAUGAUCAGCCAGACUGGAACUGAGACACGGUCCAGACUCCUACGGGAGGCAGCAGUUGGGAAUUUUCCACAAUGGGCGAAAGCCUGAUGGAGCAACGCCGCGUGCAGGAAGAAUGCCUUCGGGUUGUAAACUGCUUUUAUGUGCGAAGAAUAUGACGGUAGCAUAUGAAUAAGGGUCGGCUAACUACGUG
RNAcentral lists this ribosomal RNA (497 nucleotides) under uncultured bacterium. RNAcentral's name for it is "bacterial SSU rRNA". It matches the Rfam family "Bacterial small subunit ribosomal RNA", at positions 71 to 507 of the family's 1533-position model. The record is from RNAcentral.